GGACAGGUGGCCGAGUGGCUGAAGGCACCGGUCUCGAAAACCGGCAUACCGGUGAACCCGGUAUCGUGGGUUCAAAUCCCACCCUGUCCG
RNAcentral lists this transfer RNA (90 nucleotides) under Gemmatimonadaceae bacterium. RNAcentral's name for it is "tRNA-Ser". It matches the Rfam family "tRNA". From Rfam's summary of the family: Transfer RNA (tRNA) molecules are approximately 80 nucleotides in length. Their secondary structure includes four short double-helical elements and three loops (D, anti-codon, and T loops). The record is from RNAcentral. RNAcentral also lists the same sequence under 1 other name. Lineage: Bacteria; Pseudomonadati; Gemmatimonadota; Gemmatimonadia; Gemmatimonadales; Gemmatimonadaceae.